GCAUAACGCGAAGAACCUUACCAAGGCUUGACAUCCCCUUGACCGGCACAGAGAUGUGCCCUCUCCUUCGGGAGCAAGGGUGACAGGUGGUGCAUGGUUGUCGUCAGCUCGUGUCGUGAGAUGUUGGGUUAAGUCCCGCAACGAGCGCAACCCUUAUCCUUAGUUGCCAGCAGGUGAAGCUGGGCACUCUAAGGAGACUGCCGAUGAUAAAUCGGAGGAAGGUGGGGAUGACGUCAAAUCAUCAUGCCCCUUAUGUCUUGGGCUACACACGUGCUACAAUGGUCGGUACAAAGGGGAGCGAAGGAGUGAUCUGGAGCAAAUCCCAAUAAACCGAUCUCAGUUCGGAUUGUAGGCUGCAACUCGCCUACAUGAAGUCGGAGUUGCUAGUAAUCGCGAAUCAGAACGUCGCGGUGGAUGCGUUCCCGGGUCUUGUACACACCG
Molecule: ribosomal RNA, 441 nt
Filed under: uncultured bacterium
Lineage: Bacteria
Description: bacterial SSU rRNA
Rfam family: Bacterial small subunit ribosomal RNA
Source: RNAcentral